RNAcentral lists this unclassified non-coding RNA (225 nucleotides) under Hevea brasiliensis (rubber tree). Lineage: Eukaryota; Viridiplantae; Streptophyta; Magnoliopsida; Malpighiales; Euphorbiaceae. The record is from RNAcentral.
CAUUAUUGUGCAUUAUAAUUCAGAUUUCAUCCGGAUCGAGAGACAGCCAUGGCCGCGGAAGACCGAAAACUCGCCAACAGCGCGACCUUCAUCGAUUUCCAGACCGAGCCGUCGAAGUACCGGCACUGGAAACUCGAUGUGGCGGGCGAUGUCGCCACCCUGACCAUGGAUGUCGACGAGAACGGCGGCCUGUUCGAGGGCUACCUGCUCAAGCUGAAUUCCUAC